ACGAUGCAGAGGCACAGAAUGAAACGUAUUUAGAACAGAUGUUAGUAUUUUUUAAAAAGUCACGUGAAAUGAGCAGAUGUUCAGACUGUGCAGAGGCUCGCCGUGCAGUGCAUUACUCUGCAGAGAGCGAGAGCUCGGAGGAGCUUUGCUUCCACACAGACACGAACGGUGAGUCUGUAGUCCUACAUUCAGAUCAUCCAUUAGGUUUGAUUCAAAUGGAUUAAUAAAAGGGCCACCUGCAGGGAGUCACAUGGACCUGACUGACCGCGCUGAGACAAAGCAGGAGCGUCAGUGCAGGACACCGACUCUUCACACGUGGCGUCAGGAUCCUUCAGUCCGUCGACUGAGGAGCCACCUGGUCAGAUGACCUGGUGACAUGACACAAUGACACAAUGACAUGAAGAACAACAGCAACAAUAUGAAAAACAAGUUUGUUUGUUUUUAUAUAUAUCGAAACGGCUAUGAUUUGUUUUAUGGUUGUUUAGUUGAUUUAAAAAAACGUGUUUUAUGUUAAUUAUUAAAAAGCAUUUUGCCAGAGUAGGAUGUAUUUCUCUGAUAAUUUGUACUGUAAUUCUGAUGUAUUAAUGCUGUGCAACACCAGCCAUGAAAAACAAUUGAUUUAAGAGUUUGUACAUUGUUGUUAUGAGGUUUAUUUUCACUGCUUUUGAUGCUUAUCACUGCACAUUACUUAAAAAACAGCUGUGUAUUAAUUUUAUAUAGUAUUAUUAUCAACAUUUGUGUAAAUAUGUAUAUCUAAAAAUGACAUAUAAUAUUAUUAUAAUUAUUAUUAUUAUUGUAAUCUCAAAUGCUCAUAUUUAUACAUAUGAAAUUAAUACUUUCCUAUUUAUUAAAGUGAAAAAAAUCUAGUUUUGCAGCCCAGAUGAAAAGCUGUUAUUAGGAAUAAACUAUUAUAACAGUGAAGUCUGUCUGAGACCCCAAGAACCCACUGAUAAUCUCAGUGUAAGACAGCAUAAACCUCAUUUUAUCUCCUCUAUCUCCAUGCCAUCAGGGUGCUGGCUUUGUCCUCCACAACAGAGGACCGGCUGUUUGUGACCUUAGUGCUAAAUCAAGUUCAAAGACGACCACUGGUGUUUAGCAGAUAGUUUUACAUAAGGGCAGUGGGAGAACAGUGUGUUUGGUCAACCUCUGGCUCCCCCUUUGAUUCGCAGCUCUCUGUGACCCCUGGCAGAGCGACACCACUUAAGGCGCUUCAUUCAGCCACACUGGUCAGUCUGAUAAGAUCUGGGUGAUAACUGACUUGACUAUCAGUCUCUGUUCAGUUAACCAAAUUAUUUUCAUUACUUAACAUUUUUACACAAAGGUUCCAUCCCUUUUAAAUAUACUGUUGCACAUCAAGAAAUUAUUUUGGCAGUAUCACAUAGAGCAGUCCCACUCCAGUAAAAGAGAAAUUAGAUUAGAGUAAUAAUAUAUGAAACAGUAACUGUGAGUGGUUGGAUUCCUGAGGAAUGAGUCCACUCUGUCACAGAAAAACACUUUCACCAAGGCAUUUAUUAAUUCCCACUGUGUCAAUAGGGUAUAUGAAUGCUAAUUAGUUCAAGUGAUCAUAAUAAAAUCAAUUUAGAUGAACAAAUUCUAUUUCACUUCAAAUGUUGAGAGUUUGUCUAAAAGUUCCCAUUUAUAUAUGUACAAUCACUAAUGCGUGACUGUAUAAAGUCCUUUUGAACUGGAAGUAGAUGUUGUGCAUUGUUGGCAUAUGUUUCUUUUGUUUUUAUCCAAGGGAUAUAAAAGAGGAAAUAAAACUUCAAUCACUCAUGCAAUGAAUUAAAUCCUUGUUUAUCAUUUGAACGACCUACUUUGGUGCAGCUGAUUGGCAGUCAUUCACUUUUCCCUUUUUAAAAUAUAUGAACAAGAUGUCAGAACCACAGUAUCUACCAUGUGAAAGCAGCAGUUUAGUCUGGGCCACGUUCUGCUGUUUUUGAAGCAAAUAGUCUGGUACCAGCGUACAGUACAUUAUCCAAGAGCAAAGAAAUACAUGUGGCACAUUAACUUUCCACGGACGACGUCUGAACACAACUGGAAACCAAUCAGGAAAAACAGUACUGUGUUUAUUUUGUAUUACAAGUGUAUUAUCACAUUAUAAGAAUGAAUAAUGUAUUGUGUUUAGUCUGCUGUUGUUUUAGGACAAAACUCAAAGUAUUAAUAAAAUGAUUCUCUGAAGCAGGA
Siniperca chuatsi (mandarin fish) is the source of this 2184-nucleotide long non-coding RNA. RefSeq lists it as uncharacterized. NCBI's taxonomy places the organism in Eukaryota, Metazoa, Chordata, Actinopteri, Centrarchiformes, Sinipercidae. The record is from RefSeq and is a predicted model, not a curated record. The transcript is spliced from 2 exons.